This 379-nucleotide ribosomal RNA is filed under the name uncultured bacterium. RNAcentral describes it as "bacterial SSU rRNA". It matches the Rfam family "Bacterial small subunit ribosomal RNA", at positions 30 to 412 of the family's 1533-position model. The record is from RNAcentral.
AUUGAACGCUGGCGGCAUGCCUUACACAUGCAAGUCGAACGGUAACAGGUCUUCGGAUGCUGACGAGUGGCGAACGGGUGAGUAAUACAUCGGAACGUGCCCGAGAGUGGGGGAUAACGAGGCGAAAGCUUUGCUAAUACCGCAUACGAUCUCAGGAUGAAAGCAGGGGACCGCAAGGCCUUGCGCUCACGGAGCGGCCGAUGGCAGAUUAGGUAGUUGGUGGGAUAAAAGCUUACCAAGCCGACGAUCUGUAGCUGGUCUGAGAGGACGACCAGCCACACUGGGACUGAGACACGGCCCAGACUCCUACGGGAGGCAGCAGUGGGGAAUUUGGACAAUGGGCGCAAGCCUGAUCCAGCAAUGCCGCGUGCAGGAUGAA